UGGGGAAUUUUGGACAAUGGGCGAAAGCCUGNUCCAGCAAUGCCGCGUGUGUGAAGAAGGCCUUCGGGUUGUAAAGCACUUUUGUCCGGAAAGAAAUCCUUGGCUCUAAUACAGUCGGGGGAUGACGGUACCGGAAGAAUAAGCACCGGCUAACUACGUGCCAGCAGCCGCGGUAAUACGUAGGGUGCAAGCGUUAAUCGGAAUUACUGGGCGUAAAGCGUGCGCAGGCGGUUUGCUAAGACCGAUGUGAAAUCCCCGGGCUCAACCUGGGAACUGCAUUGGUGACUGGCAGGCUAGAGUAUGGCAGAGGGGGGUAGAAUUCCACGUGUAGCAGUGAAAUGCGUAGAGAUGUGGAGGAAUACCGAUGGCGAAGGCAGCCCCCUGGGCCAAUACUGACGCUCAUGCACGAAAGCGUGGGGGAGCAAAACAGGAUUAGAUACCCUGGUAGUCCACGCCCUAAACGAUGUCAACUAGUUGUUGGGGAUUCAUUUCCUUAGUAACGUAGCUAACGCGUGAAGUUGACCGCCUGGGGAGUACGGUCGCAAGAUU
Molecule: ribosomal RNA, 549 nt
Filed under: uncultured bacterium
Lineage: Bacteria
Description: partial 16S ribosomal RNA
Rfam family: Bacterial small subunit ribosomal RNA
Source: RNAcentral